AGAAAUAUAUAUAUAUAUAUGAAAAAGAAAGGGAUAGCAGUGAAGCAAAAGGCGGGCCGUGCUUAUUUCGAAAUCAUCCCGACCCACCUCUUUCACCGUCUCCUUUUCUCUUCUCCACUCAACUCUCCUUCCUUCCUUCUCUCCCUAUCGGUCAGUUUCACUGCCUGUUAGAUAACUCACCUUUUCUUUCUUCCCCCCGCUCUUUCUCCCUUCUU
This 215-nucleotide long non-coding RNA is filed under the name Manihot esculenta (cassava). Its description in RNAcentral is "long non-coding RNA (MESC_LNC011879)". Lineage: Eukaryota; Viridiplantae; Streptophyta; Magnoliopsida; Malpighiales; Euphorbiaceae. The record is from RNAcentral.